UGUCAUUUUUCCUUUUGCUUAAACACAGCAAUACUCCGGAUCUCCUCCUGUUAGAGGCAGUGAUGCAGCUGUAUCCAGCUUGCUUGUGCUGGGAGCUGACUUUGCCAUCUACCCUCUUCGCUGAUAGAGGUUAUGGCUGAACUGCUUGCCUGCAAGAAACUUCCAAGGCUUAUGAAAAUGCCAGCCUACCUGUGUAGCAACUGAUACAGGGAAUCCAAUGCGGUUGUGGGGAAUCACAGAAAAUAGCUUUCUUCUUGAGGUCUUUCCCAACUGUGCUGGCAUCGUUGAUGUGUGUUGCAUGUCCUCAUUAUCUGUUUGUGUCUCACCAGGCUUGAUUCUUUAUCAAGAGGAAAAGAGAUACAGAUCCUUCUGCCAGUGAGAACCAAGAUGGUCUGAUUUUGAAGAAUGAUAUGACAGACUACUUGUUGCUGUGUUUUGAAUUCGUACAUGAAUAUAAGGUUUGUUAUAAGAUGUUGGGAAGUGUUUUGUGGUGAACACUGGUUGCGGUGUGGACUACAUUUUGAUGUGUCUUUUGUAUGGUUGCUGAUAAUGCUGGGGAGCUACAACUUAUACCCCAAAGGAACUGAAGAUUCCUCUUUAAAAGGUGCAGUGCUGUGAAA
RNAcentral lists this long non-coding RNA (620 nucleotides) under Falco tinnunculus (common kestrel). Its description in RNAcentral is "lncRNA (ENSFTIG00000010958.1)". Lineage: Eukaryota; Metazoa; Chordata; Aves; Falconiformes; Falconidae. The record is from RNAcentral.